Molecule: RNA transcript, 2175 nt
Organism: Carassius auratus (goldfish)
Lineage: Eukaryota; Metazoa; Chordata; Actinopteri; Cypriniformes; Cyprinidae
Gene name: N-acyl-phosphatidylethanolamine-hydrolyzing phospholipase D-like
Exons: 5
Source: RefSeq, a predicted model, not a curated record
GUGACUGACACAUAGCUUCUGCUUUGCACUUGAUUUCCUCACACAUUUGCUCACAAUGUUUCUUGAAUCUUGUUUUGUAGUUCUGGAAUUCUGGUGCAUAUCAUUCUAGUUCUCAGCUUCCUGGGCUUCUGCUUUUCCGACAAAAUGAAUAAGGAAUAAGUGUUUGGACCAUAUACAUUUCUAAGACACGUGGAAUGACAUUUCGCCAUAAUAAUGGACAUCUGCUCGUGGACAGAAUAAGGGGUGAGUUUGGACCAUACAGAGUUUGGGAAAUUUGUCAUGAUGGACAUCUGCUCAUGGACAGAAUCAUGAAGUCUCAGCAUGUGGACCCUGAAGAGGCUGUUCAGAUUCACAUGGACAUUCAGGUGAAAACUUCACUGCUGGAUGUUUGCUUUAGCCUAUGAGGCCAAUGAGGAGGGCGUGUUUUACCUCAAGAAUAGUAAUCAAGUCGGAAUAGGCGAUUUGUAAGCUUUGAUGCCACAGUGACACCUUGUGUUGCCCAAACUAAAUACAGUGUGAUACAGUGUAGUCUGCAUGAUGGCAAUAAUCUAACAUCAUGCUUUUAUCCUUUUGUGUAUCAUGCAAAACCCAAACCGUUUGUGUAUCAUGCAGUCAGACCAAGUGUGAAAGCACCUUUAGACUGGUGUGUUCACACUUGCCAUGUUCAGUCCAAUUAAAACAAACCCUGAUGCUACUGCUCUGAUUGUGCGGCUCAUGUGUGAACGCUGCCAUCCAAACUCUGGUGCAGUUCGAAUGAAAUAUGAACGUUAACAGUGACCAAAGACAGGACAUUAAAUCACAAGAUGAGACCCUAAAAAUGACAAAAUGCUCAAGCCUACCAGUUUUUUCUAGUCAUAUAGUCGCGAUGUUGCCCUUCAAAGUUUGGUACAGACAUCAGAACCACUUCCCCUUUGCAGCUUUUUCUGUGUGUGCGAUGGACUACACACAUACAACAAAAGCAUUGCUUCGGAUGUUCGGUCACAAACUCGAUGUUAUAAAAGCUUAUCAAUCAGGUUGUGAACGUAUCCCUAUUCCUUUAGGUUCGGUAUCUUUUUAGUUUAGUGUUAAAAAGCCAAUGUGAAUGCUAUACAAACCAGGACUAAAGGUUUUUUCUUUUUGGUCCAGACCAAAUUUAACCAAGUGAACUGAGCUACAAGUGUGAACACACCCAAAAAUGGUGAAUCAUGAACUGAAUCCAGAUCUGUUGUUUACACUUCAUCAUGGAAAGUCACGGGUGAUCCAGCUGAACAGAAACCCAGGAAGUAUGCAGACACACAUUAUCUACGUAUGAUCUGCAUAGGCUGCAUUUCUAUGAAUUAUUUUACAGCUGCAGAUUGUCCUGAUCCAGUGGCUGGACUCUGGAUUUAAUGCAGUAUGAAUGUUAAAAAGACAUUUAUUCGAUUUCUGUUUUGAUUUCAUAUAAUUUGUCAUUUACACGAUCAUGCUGUGACCAGAAUAACACAACAUCUGAAUUUAAAUAGUGUAUCUUGAAGCUCUGCUGCUUGGAAGAACGUUGGUCAGGUGAGAUCUUACCUGAGGAACUUGUUGUAAUCCUUCAUGAGACGCAGAAGAACCAAACCUUAGGAAAUUCACUUUAUUUGCAAUUGUUUAAUAACAUCAUUCCUCAGAUAAAAAUGCAAUAUUACAGGAAUAUACAGCAGAGAUUAAAUUUAAAACUUCCUGUCAAGAACCAUACAAUCUAAAGAUAUUUUUUGAGUUUUUAUUUACUGGUAGCGUGCGUUAUAAGCAAGACACACUCUGUCACCAAAGACAGACUGACAGAUACAGAUACAAACUGUACAAUCACUUAUUUACAAAUCCAAUUUUUAUAUAUUUUUUUCAUUUCACUUUUUUUUUGAAAAUAGGAGUAGAAAAAGUGAUUGAAUCUUCAGAUUUACGUAGCGUAUUCUUUUUAAAAUCUAAAUGAACAACAAAUGAAAGAAUGAUGAAAUGAAACAAAAGAGUCUCAGCAAAAGUAGAGGAGGGAAUGACAGACCAUGCAGACGUCUCACAGUUUUCAAUAACACCUGGGGUCUAAACUCCAUUAAAUAAGUCCAAAAUGUGAAUGACCUCUGACGGUGUUUGGUGAGAGACCUGAAUGGUCAGCACUGAUGCUUUCGAAAUUCUACCAAAAGCAUGAUGCGCGUCUAAUUUUAAUUCAACUCGUUAAUCUAA